GGGGUUAGCUGUAAGUGGGCAGGAGAGCGCUUAUGAUGAAAAUGUUCUAAAACUGUUACAACUAAUUGAUCACAACCAGUUACAGAUUCCUUUGUUCCUUCUCCACUCCCACUGCUCCAUUUGACCAGCCUUUA
This 134-nucleotide small RNA is filed under the name Microcebus murinus (gray mouse lemur). RNAcentral describes it as "Y RNA (ENSMICG00000023573.3)". It matches the Rfam family "Y RNA", at positions 19 to 96 of the family's 96-position model. Rfam says of the family: Y RNAs are components of the Ro ribonucleoprotein particle (Ro RNP), in association with Ro60 and La proteins. The Y RNAs and Ro60 and La proteins are well conserved, but the function of the Ro RNP is not known. The record is from RNAcentral. Lineage: Eukaryota; Metazoa; Chordata; Mammalia; Primates; Cheirogaleidae.